RNAcentral lists this ribosomal RNA (468 nucleotides) under uncultured bacterium. Its description in RNAcentral is "partial 16S ribosomal RNA". It matches the Rfam family "Bacterial small subunit ribosomal RNA", at positions 28 to 507 of the family's 1533-position model. The record is from RNAcentral.
GACGAACGCUGGCGGCGUGCUUAACACAUGCAAGUCGAACGGAAAGGCCCUGCUUUUGUGGGGUGCUCGAGUGGCGAACGGGUGAGUAACACGUGAGUAACCUGCCCUUGACUUUGGGAUAACUUCAGGAAACUGUGGCUAAUACCGGAUAGGAGCUCCUGCUGCAUGGUGGGGGUUGGAAAGUUUCGGCGGUUGGGGAUGGACUCGCGGCUUAUCAGCUUGUUGGUGGGGUAGUGGCUUACCAAGGCUUUGACGGGUAGCCGGCCUGAGAGGGUGACCGGCCACAUUGGGACUGAGAUACGGCCCAGACUCCUACGGGAGGCAGCAGUGGGGAAUAUUGCACAAUGGGCGGAAGCCUGAUGCAGCAACGCAGCGUGCGGGAUGACGGCCUUCGGGUUGUAAACUGCUUUCGCCUGUGACGAAGCGUGAGUGACGGUAAUGAGUAAAGAAGCACCGGCUAACUACGUG